Molecule: small nucleolar RNA, 55 nt
Filed under: Tetranychus urticae (two-spotted spider mite)
Lineage: Eukaryota; Metazoa; Arthropoda; Arachnida; Trombidiformes; Tetranychidae
Description: snoRNA tetur04g09446
Source: RNAcentral
AUUGUUGAUGAGAAAAGGCUCUCUGAAUUGUUGAUUUGGAAGAAAAAUGCUGAAA